Long non-coding RNA from Triticum aestivum (bread wheat), 4317 nucleotides. RefSeq lists it as uncharacterized. The transcript is spliced from 3 exons. The record is from RefSeq and is a predicted model, not a curated record. Lineage: Eukaryota; Viridiplantae; Streptophyta; Magnoliopsida; Poales; Poaceae.
UGUUCCUCGGGGAGAGCCCAUUGGGCACAACCACACCCCUAGCCUCAGUCCACAGCCGCCAUGCCCUCACUCCUCCUCGCCGCCACACCCCCUUCCUCCUCCUCCUCCUCCUCCUCCUCCUCGCUGCCACACUCCCUCCCUCCUCCUACCUACUCACCAUAGCCCGCCAUAAGCGGCUCCCUCCUCACCACGGCCCCGCCAUAGGCGGCUCAUGCGAUGGUGGAACGGACGGCGGCCUCAGCGUGUGGGCGGCGGCGGCCCAUCUGGUGAACGAGCCCGCACCUCCCUGCCCUCCUCAUCACCCUUCCCUCCUUGGCUUAAUGGGAGGUUCGUGGGGCACCUCUCAGGCUGCUGCUGCCUCUUCCGCCCAGCAGGACGAGCACAAGGUACACAUGAAUCUACGAUCCAGAUUCUAGCUACAUCCUUUACUACAACAAUAUCAGUCUAUACUGAAAAGUGUACUGCUUAUAUAGCUGAUAUCUUUAAUUCAUAUGGUCGGCCGCUGGAUGCUGACUGGUCUUUGGUUCAUAUGGUCACUGGCAAGAAGCUUGUUGCUAUGUUUGGUUCAUAUGGUCGUCGACUGGAAGCUCGCGCUCUGAAUGAUCUCAUUCUCUAUGGCCGACAAUACACACUUUUCAUUACUACCAGCCGGGUCUUCUCAGAGUGAUUGAAUAAAUUCCAUUCCUUCGUGCUGCAACCUUCCAUGAUUUUUGCUCAAAAUGGCAUAAUAUGCCACUUGCGCCACCAUUGAUCUUUGAAAUUUAGUUACUCCAGUUUUUCGUAGAUAACAAUUGUGUAGUCUUUGUCCUUUCCACUUACCAUUACCAUUUUUGUGAUGAUACUUCACUAGAAAUUUGUUUGGUACUCCUCAUCUAAAAUAUAUUCAGAACGAGGUCACUUUUGCAAUGCAUGGGAGUUUAGUUUUUGUUGCAUGCGCAGUUAUAUAUGUUUAGUCAUUUGUAUUGAGAGGUCAGUGCGUCUUGGUUGUUUCUGUUGUUGAUCCAGGAGGUUCUUGGUUGCUUGGUGUUUUUGCUACACGUGCAGUACUAUAAUAUGCUAACCCAUAUAACGAUGAAGUAUAUUCUGUUUCGUAGAUGAGCAAAGUUUGCUGCAUGCAUAGUAUAUAUAUGUUUUCUUACAAAUAUAUGUAUGCCAUUAACUGCUAUCAUUGUGUUUUACAGGGGUUCAUGGGCCAUCAUGAUGAUAAUACUUAAUUCUUUAAACAAGAAUGGUAAGAACUAAGGAGGGUUGUCUUGUACAAGAGCUCUGCCGCGAUGGCAUCACCACUCAGUGAUGCCUUAGUAGGAAGGCCAAUCGCGGGGAGGUGCGACAUGGGUGGCCUAAAGAGCUAAUUUGGUGCUCUCUCUCUUUGCCUCUUGUUUCCUCCGGCACCCUGAUUUUGAUGGCUAAUAUAUUGACUUUCUAAACAUCUUUAAUUUAUAAGUAAUGUAGUAGUUAUAUGCUUUUCAUUUAUGAUAGAGAGAUUGAAUUAGGGUGUUUUGCUUGCUGCCUUGUAGGGAAAUGUACCCUGUUGCAGUUCCUCUGUCUUCACGAAUUACUAUCCAACUAUUAAGUCUGUUCUAAACUCUCAGCCCCAUGUAAAUCUGAUGGAAGAUUGGGCCAUUUAAUUUGAAACAAAAAGGGUAAUAUGCUCUCAGUUGCUUGAAUCUGUCCAGACCUGAAAAAUAGAUAUACUUUGAAAGCUUGAUAUAUGAGUAUGUAACUGAAGGAGUAGACAUUUCUUGUUCUUGGUCGUCGCAGCUUUUGUUUAUUCCAUUAAAAAGAGAUGGAUUACAAUUACUUGACACGCACAUCCACACCCGAGCGCAAUGUCUGUUAGUCCAGGCUGGAGCAUAGAUUGGGGUGACAUAAAUAUAUGAGUUGUUCAGAAAAUAACAAAUGGAACUCCCAGACACCGCCACCUCUGCAUCCACCUUGCUCCGCAUAGCAGCAUGUGUGUGGAAGCGGGGACAUGCGAUCAUUAGUAGAUGGCGUCGGCGGCAAUGGCAACAUGCAUGGUACACGAAGUUCGAUAACAUGGGCGCAACCUCCCCAUAGGCAUUCCAGGAUGGUGUGUCCACCAGCUUGGAACGCGCCCUCCCGGCGCACAGAAGGUAUGCCUCAGAGCACGCCAGCGGCAAUGUGCACCACGAGGCCCCGAAGCAGCCCAGCCAGUACAGAGCCCCUCCGUACAGGAGGAACCCUGCCACCGUCGGAGCCAGCAACGUUGACGCGUAUGAGAGCUCGGCCAUGGUGGCCCGCGCACCGAAUAGGAGGAUCAUGUCCGCGCUAGAGGGCAGCAACGAGCACAUCGGUGGCACAAGGAGGUGUGCAGGAUCUGCACCGACAGAAGGUGUCUCCGGCUCUCCGCAUAGCAGCAUGUGUGUGGUGGCGGGGACAGGCAACCACAUGCAAAUUUUGAGGAGCGACAUGAGCAUCAAGCAAUGGCUGAUGCCAAGGGAUUAUAGCAACGAGAAUGCUCAACGUACGGGCAGUUUUCACAGAAUCACUCCUACGGACGGACCUGCCCCUCCCUAAUUCGACCACCACCUCGUGCAUUUCAUGGUGGGGUCCGCCUACCCCUAAUCACUUCAUGCCAUCUCACCCUGUAACUUCUAAUCCGUAAAAAUUAUAGGUAAGUCUAGCAUCGCUGUUGUAGCAAGCAACCGUAGGUGCGUGAGUUCUUUCUUCUUGCAUGAAAUUGUUCUACUAAUUCACUUUGUUCUUGUUUUAUCCUUUUUUUUACUUUCCAAUUUCGAUGCAAUGGAUAUUUAUUGUGGUAGUUUAGAUAGCACCUUAUAUUUCUUUGGUUUUAAUAAAGUAAACUAGAGCAGUGGUAUGUGCAUAUUCAAAUAAUAAUGGAAAAUAAUUUUUUCGUGCUGCAAAAUAUAUCUCAAAACCUUCCCCAUUUUUGUUUCCAGAGGACAAAGGACAUCUUGUAUUAGUUAGCUUCUUUUUACAGUUCCUAUCCAUUGAACUAUAUGCAGUUUUCAGCUAGACCUCUUUUUACAGUUCCUAUCCAUUGAACUAUAAGAAGAAAAAUCUCGAGGCAGCUAUUGAUUAAUGUUUUUCUUUUCAUUUUUUUGUUUGGACUUGCAAAGUUAUUUCCAUCAAUUUUUUCUUUACUUGGUGCCCAGGUAGUGUUCAUUACUAUGUUCAAACACUUCAAAGUAUGCUCAGAUUAUCUAUCAGAUCGUGAAAUUCACUUCUUUUAUAAGCCUAUCCUUAGGAACACUGGAGAGAUGAAGUUCAAUCAACAGUACAAACUUCUAUUGAGUAGGUUCAUUGUUAGGUUCAGAUAUAAUUAUGUGUCUUGAAUUCUUGUUAUUUUCCAUUUCUUAUAGGAACUAAAUCAUCUGUGGCAUACUUGGUUUCUCAUAUUGUUUUUGGUUAUAAUUUAAAUUGACCUUAACCCAAACAUCUGAAAAUGAAAUUAAAGUAUGACAGAGAAAAUGUGUAGGCAUGAACUCCGGUAUGCCUAUUGUGAGUGAGACCGCUUCACUUUGUUUCCAAUAUAGUAGAUGCCGGAAGUGGUACUCUUACAUACAACCUUCAGAGAUGUAUAUGUAGCCAUUUCCUCUAUACAAAGGAAUGAUAUUUUAGUUGGUUGUGAGUUUCAUUGCUGGAGAGGACCGAUGAUCAUCAUUUGCAAGUUCAUUUUUAGGUACCUAUGUAUUAUUCUCAUGCUCCCCUUUAGGUGAUCUACCUAGGCUAUGCACGGACAUAUAGUAUUGCCAUGUUCUCCUUGUUCAUACAUCAUCAAUCGUUGCUACCAAAUUGAUGUUCUGUUGCUCUAUGUACUUGUAUUAUAGACUGCCAUUUGUUUUGUCAAACAGUUUGUUUGCCGUAUGUACUGGUGUUACAGACUACUAUUUGUUUUGUCUAGCUUAGUAAGUAAUUCAUUUGGUUAUGCCCUUUUUCUUUUUCAGUUAUCAUUUGCCAACCUCUUCAUUAUCGGACUAUACACAUGUGGUGACGUAUGCGGUCAUCGGGAGCGGCUGUAUUGUUUGGUCCUCAACAAUUUUGGCUGAAGACUCCUGGGCUUUACCAUUGCGAAAUCAUGUGAGAAGAGGUGUUCCAGGAAUUCUUUGAAAGGCAUGUGUAUACAGACCAUGUGUCUCACUAUCGUUUUUUUGUCUUUUUGAGUUGCUGAAAAGAUCUUAGGAUGUUUGAUUAGUUUCAACUCAGAUGAAGUUGUUAGGAUGAUUAGUUUGCAGCUUCUGCAAAAUGUAUUGUGAUGGAUUCAGAUAGAUUCUGGAGUGAUGCAACCCUUUGUACUGUGUGUUCCUCAUUCUUGCUGACUUUCUUCAUGCACCA